This 486-nucleotide ribosomal RNA is filed under the name uncultured bacterium. RNAcentral describes it as "partial 16S ribosomal RNA". It matches the Rfam family "Bacterial small subunit ribosomal RNA", at positions 30 to 507 of the family's 1533-position model. The record is from RNAcentral.
AUUGAACGCUGGCGGCAUGCCUUACACAUGCAAGUCGAACGGCAGCACGGGUGCUUGCACCUGGUGGCGAGUGGCGAACGGGUGAGUAAUACAUCGGAACAUGUCCUGUAGUGGGGGAUAGCCCGGCGAAAGCCGGAUUAAUACCGCAUACGAUCUACGGAAGAAAGCGGGGGCCCUUCGGGCCUCGCGCUAUGGGGUUGGCCGAUGGCUGAUUAGCUAGUUGGUGGGGUAAAGGCCUACCAAGGCGACGAUCAGUAGCUGGUCUGAGAGGACGACCAGCCACACUGGGACUGAGACACGGCCCAGACUCCUACGGGAGGCAGCAGUGGGGAAUUUUGGACAAUGGGCGAAAGCCUGAUCCAGCAAUGCCGCGUGUGUGAAGAAGGCCUUCGGGUUGUAAAGCACUUUUGUCCGGAAAGAAAUCCUUGGCCCUAAUACGGUCGGGGGAUGACGGUACCGGAAGAAUAAGCACCGGCUAACUACGUG